UACGUAGGGGGCAAGCGUUGUCCGGAUUUAUUGGGCGUAAAGAGCGUGUAGGCGGUUUGGUAGGUCCGCUGUGAAAACUCGAGGCUCAACCUCGAGACGCCGGUGGAAACCAUCAGGCUAGAGUCCGGAAGAGGGGAGUGGAAUUCCUGGUGUAGCGGUGAAAUGCGCAGAUAUCAGGAAGAACACCCGUGGCUAAGGCGGCUCUCUAGUACGGUACUGACGCUGAGACGCGAAAGCGUGGGGAGCGAACAGG
This 253-nucleotide ribosomal RNA is filed under the name uncultured bacterium. Its description in RNAcentral is "partial 16S ribosomal RNA". It matches the Rfam family "Bacterial small subunit ribosomal RNA", at positions 524 to 776 of the family's 1533-position model. The record is from RNAcentral.